GCCAGACUCCUACGGGAGGCAGCAGUGAGGAAUAUUGGUCAAUGGGCGGGAGCCUGAACCAGCCAAGUCGCGUGAGGGACGACGGUCCUAUGGAUUGUAAACCUCUUUUGUCGGGGAACAAAGGCGCCCACGGGUGGGCGGAUGAGUGUACCCGAAGAAAAAGCAUCGGCUAACUCCGUGCCAGCAGCCGCGGUCAUACGUAGGAUCCGAGCAUUAUCCGGAGUGACUGGGUGUAAAGAGUUGCGUAGGUGGCAUAAUAAGUAGCUAGUGAAAUCUGGUGGCUCAACCAUUCAGACUAUUAGCUAAACUGUUAAGCUCGAGACCGUUAGGGGUAACUGGAAUUUCUAGUGUAGGAGUGAAAUCCGUAGAUAUUAGAAGGAACACCAAUAGCGUAGGCAGGUUACUGGGACGGUUCUGACACUAAGGCACGAAAGCGUAGGGAGCAAACGGGAUUAGAUACCCGUGUA
RNAcentral lists this ribosomal RNA (467 nucleotides) under uncultured bacterium. RNAcentral describes it as "bacterial SSU rRNA". It matches the Rfam family "Bacterial small subunit ribosomal RNA", at positions 330 to 792 of the family's 1533-position model. The record is from RNAcentral.